UAUUCCUGACCUCUGUCCCGUCCCAGAAGCGCGAGCGAUCGGACGUGAGUCGCUUGCCGUCUUGAAGUUUUGACGCAUUUAUGAAGAAAUGUCGAGGUUAAGAUAUACUCUAGUUGCCGUGCGUGGCAUGAUUUUAAGUUCCAAGUUGCGCGGAACUAACUUAGACGUCGGCGCACGUGCAGCGACAGCGGUGAGUACCCAAACUCCGCUCCGAUCCCUGUGCACAACAUGUCUGCUUCGCAAAGCCGAGGAUAGGAAGGCAAUGAUGGCGUCUCUGCCUAAGAAAGACGAGGGCACGCUUGGGGAGAAGUUGGUGGACGUCGAUCCGUCGCACGCGCGGUGGUCCAUGUUUCCAGAUGAAGACACACCCGAUAUGUUGUUCGACGGCGUUCCUUUUCGGGACCUUCCAAUCUGCCACAUCAAGUGCAGCCUGAACAACACACUGAUGACCCUCACCGACUCAUCAGGUCCGUGAGAUGAAGGAAAAUGCCUUGGAAGAAAAUCUGGUGGCACUGAAGGAUACAAGAAUGCCAAGAAGGGUACCACUGUUGCUGCACAAGCUGCAGCUAUGAGCUUUAGCCAUGUGGCCCAGCUGAGGGACAUCAAGAACAUCCGGGUGAUAGUCAAGGGCCUUGGACCUGGCAGGCUGGCGUCCAUCAAAGGCCUCCAAAUGGGUGGCCUCACCGUGGUUUCCAUCACCGACCGAACACCAGCGCCCGAGAAGUGUCCAAGACCACGCAAAGCCAAGAGGCUUUGACGUACCACGCUGUACCAAUUAGUGUUGUAAAUAAAAA
RNAcentral lists this unclassified non-coding RNA (794 nucleotides) under Rhipicephalus microplus (southern cattle tick). RNAcentral's name for it is "30S ribosomal protein S11-like, transcript variant X1". Lineage: Eukaryota; Metazoa; Arthropoda; Arachnida; Ixodida; Ixodidae. The record is from RNAcentral.